UGUCUGCUUGUCUUGUGUUCCCCAGUCUGGUUAUUGUUGUCAUAUGUGUUGUUACCUCUGCCCUUCCCCGUGUGUAAAGCACACCCUCCACCAACGUGAUAACUGACGGCACAGAAAUACGUGCCACUCUUCUGUGCUGCAGAACUCAAGAUUUGGUCCGAGUUUCUUUUUUCAAGGCCCUGAAAUCAUGGGUUUUUGUAGAACGUGUUUUUCGACGUUAUGAAACACAGAUGGUGGAACACAAACGCAUAUGUAGGAGAGAGCAAGCUUGGCAGCGAAGGGCGGCCACCUGCAGUGGUAUCCAUGCAGCUGGGAGUUAAGGGUCUUG
Brienomyrus brachyistius is the source of this 328-nucleotide long non-coding RNA. RefSeq lists it as uncharacterized. NCBI's taxonomy places the organism in Eukaryota, Metazoa, Chordata, Actinopteri, Osteoglossiformes, Mormyridae. The transcript has 4 exons. The record is from RefSeq and is a predicted model, not a curated record.